AUUGAACGCUGGCGGAAUGCUUUACACAUGCAAGUCGAACGGCAGCACGGGGGCAACCCUGGUGGCGAGUGGCGAACGGGUGAGUAAUAUAUCGGAACGUGCCCAGUCGUGGGGGAUAACGUAGCGAAAGUUACGCUAAUACCGCAUACGAUCUACGGAUGAAAGCGGGGGAUCGCAAGACCUCGCGCGAUUGGAGCGGCCGAUAUCAGAUUAGGUAGUUGGUGGGGUAAAGGCUCACCAAGCCAACGAUCUGUAGCUGGUCUGAGAGGACGACCAGCCACACUGGGACUGAGACACGGCCCAGACUCCUACGGGAGGCAGCAGUGGGGAAUUUUGGACAAUGGGCGCAAGCCUGAUCCAGCCAUUCCGCGUGCAGGACGAAGGCCUUCGGGUUGUAAACUGCUUUUGUACGGAACGAAAAAGCCUUGGCUAAUACCCAGGGUCCAUGACGGUACCGUAAGAAUAAGCACCGGCUAACUACGUGCCAGCAGCCGCGGUAA
RNAcentral lists this ribosomal RNA (500 nucleotides) under uncultured bacterium. RNAcentral's name for it is "partial 16S ribosomal RNA". It matches the Rfam family "Bacterial small subunit ribosomal RNA", at positions 30 to 523 of the family's 1533-position model. The record is from RNAcentral.